This 501-nucleotide ribosomal RNA is filed under the name uncultured bacterium. RNAcentral's name for it is "partial 16S ribosomal RNA". It matches the Rfam family "Bacterial small subunit ribosomal RNA", at positions 29 to 523 of the family's 1533-position model. The record is from RNAcentral.
AUUGAACGCUGGCGGCAUGCCUUACACAUGCAAGUCGAACGGCAGCACGGGUGCUUGCACCUGGUGGCGAGUGGCGAACGGGUGAGUAAUACAUCGGAACGUACCUUAUCGUGGGGGAUAACGCAGCGAAAGCUGUGCUAAUACCGCAUACGCCCUGAGGGGGAAAGCGGGGGAUCGAAAGACCUCGCGCGAUUAGAGCGGCCGAUGCCUGAUUAGCUUGUUGGUGGGGUAAAAGCCCACCAAGGCGACGAUCAGUAGCUGGUCUGAGAGGACGAUCAGCAACACUGGGACUGAGACACGGCCCAGACUCCUACGGGGGGCGGCAGUGGGGAAUUUUGGACAAUGGGGGCAACCCUGAUCCAGCAAUGCCGCGUGAGUGAAGAAGGCCAUCGGGUUGUAAAGCUCUUUUGUCAGGGAAGAAACACCGGCUCUAACACAGUCCGGGAAUGACGGUACCUGAAGAAUAAGCACCGGCUAACUACGUGCCAGCCGCCGCCGUAA